GUAGUCCACGCCGUAAACGAUGGAUACUAGCUGUUCGGAUGCAAAUCUGAGUGGCUAAGCGAAAGUGAUAAGUAUCCCACCUGGGGAGUACGAACGCAAGUUUGAAACUCAAAGGAAUUGACGGGGGCCCGCACAAGCGGUGGAGCAUGUGGUUUAAUUCGAUGAUACGCGAGGAACCUUACCAGGGCUUAAAUGUAGAGUGACAGGACUGGAAACAGUUUUUUCUUCGGACACUUUACAAGGUGCUGCAUGGUUGUCGUCAGCUCGUGCCGUGAGGUGUCAGGUUAAGUCCUAUAACGAGCGCAACCCCUGUUGUUAGUUGCCAGCGAGUAAUGUCGGGAACUCUAACAAGACUGCCGGUGCAAACCGUGA
RNAcentral lists this ribosomal RNA (372 nucleotides) under uncultured bacterium. Its description in RNAcentral is "bacterial SSU rRNA". It matches the Rfam family "Bacterial small subunit ribosomal RNA", at positions 790 to 1167 of the family's 1533-position model. The record is from RNAcentral.